AGGGCACCACCAGGAGUGGAGCCUGCGGCUUAAUUUGACUCAACACGGGAAAUCUCACCAGGCCCGGACACUGGAAGGAUUGACAGAUUGAGAGCUCUUUCUCGAUUCGGUGGGUGGUGGUGCAUGGCCGUUCUUAGUUGGUGGAGUGAUUUGUCUGGUUAAUUCCGAUAACGAACGAGACUCUGUCCUGCUAAAUAGUUCCCACGUCCUUUGUUGCGCGGGAAAUUCUUCUUAGAGGGACUGGCGGCGUCUAGCCGCACGAGAUUGGGCAAUAACAGGUCUGUGAUGCCCUUAGAUGUUCUGGGCCGCACGCGCGCUACACUGAAGGGAUCAGCGUGUCUUCCCUUCCCGAGAGGGACGGGUAACCCGCUGAACCCCCUUCGUGGUAGGGAUCGGGGCUUGCAAUUAUUCCCCGUGAACCAGGAAUUCCCAGUAAGCGCAAGUCAUAAGCUUGCGUUGAUUACGUCCCUGCCCUUUGUACACACCGCCCGUCGCUACUACCGAUUGAACGUUUUAGUG
RNAcentral lists this ribosomal RNA (519 nucleotides) under uncultured eukaryote. RNAcentral's name for it is "SSU rRNA". It matches the Rfam family "Eukaryotic small subunit ribosomal RNA", at positions 1161 to 1703 of the family's 1831-position model. The record is from RNAcentral.